UCGGGAAUUUUGGGCAAUGGGCGAAAGCCUGACCCAGCAACGCCGCGUGAAGGAUGAAGUAUUUCGGUAUGUAAACUUCGUAAGAAUAGGAAGAAUAAAUGACGGUACUAUUUGUAAUGUCCGGCUAACUACGUGCCAGCAGCCGCGGUAAUACGUAGGGACCAAGCGUUGUUCGGAUUUACUGGGCGUAAAGGGCGCGUAGGCGGCGUGGUAAGUCAUCUGUGAAAUCUCCGAGCUUAACUCGGAACGGUCAGAUGAUACUGCUGUGCUAGAGUACAGAAAGGGCAAUCGGAAUUCUUGGUGUAGCGGUGAAAUGCGUAGAUAUCAAGAGGAACACCUGAGGUGAAGACGGGUUGCUGGGCUGACACUGACGCUGAGGCGCGAAAGCCAGGGGAGCAAACGGGAUUAGAUACCCACGUAGUCCCUGAGCGGGCUGGCAAGGCGCAU
RNAcentral lists this ribosomal RNA (447 nucleotides) under uncultured bacterium. Its description in RNAcentral is "bacterial SSU rRNA". It matches the Rfam family "Bacterial small subunit ribosomal RNA", at positions 355 to 825 of the family's 1533-position model. The record is from RNAcentral.